Molecule: long non-coding RNA, 6765 nt
Filed under: Sus scrofa (pig)
Lineage: Eukaryota; Metazoa; Chordata; Mammalia; Artiodactyla; Suidae
Description: lncRNA (ENSSSCG00035026735.1)
Source: RNAcentral
GCCACACUCACGGCAUAUGGAAGUUCCCGGGCUAGGGCUGGAUCACAGCUGCAGCUACCAGCCUACACCACAGCCACAGCAAGGCAGGAUCCAAGCCACAUCUGUGACCUAUGCCACAGCUGUGGCAAUGCCAGAUCUUUACCCCACUGAACAAGGCCAGGAACUGAACCUGCAUCUUCAUGGACACUAUGUGGGGUUCUUAACCCACUGAGCCAUAACGGGCACUCCCCCAGUGUUGAUGCAGUUGUGGCAUAGGUUGCAGUUGCAGCUUAGAUUCAACCCCUGGCCUGGGGACUUCCGUAUGCCUCGAAUGCAUAUGAAAAGGAAAAAAGAGAGCGAGAGACUAGCUUAUCUAAAUCAUAAAUAAUAAGAGUAACUGAGAAAAUAUUAGCGGCUAAUUUAGAGUGAAAAUCGAAGUAGUCAAUACGUUUCGUUGAGUUGCUAAUUAGAAAGGAUUCUGUGUAGCUGAUACGGGAGCACUUGUACGAAAUAUGAGAGAAAAAUGAUCUAUUGUAUUUUUUUGGGGGGGCACACUCACAGCAAAGUUCCCAGGUCAGGGGUCUAACCCGUGCCACAGAAGUGAUCUGAGUCACAGCAGUGACGAUGCCAGAUCCUCAACCUGCUGGGUCACCAGGGAACUCCUGAUCUUAUAUUUUCAAUCCUUUCCUCCCACUGUCUUCAAAAAGUGUAGUCACCCUCUGGUCAGUUUUAUCAUUUCUAAAGGUCUCGGCCCAGCUGAUCGCUCUCCUAGUUCAUCUCUGUUUAGAGUUACUCUGCAGCUCCUAGAGAACAGGGAGGACAGGCUCCCCCUCCCACAGAAAAGGGUACAGUCCCCUCUCUGCCAGGUAACCUGUUCAACUCUGACUUAGGAACAGUUCACACCACCGAGUUCCUCCCACCUGGACCCGAGGUCUCCAAGUUGAAGAAAAGUUAGCAGCGGAGUUGCAGUACGACCUUGCAAAGGGACAGGGCACAUGGAGAUGGGCAGCGGGAGAGAAGGGGACCGUGUCCCUCCAGGAAGGGAUGUCCCUGAGAUGACCCCGCUCCAAUGGCAGUCGGAAUCCUGGGGAACAGCAAGGAGCCCCGGAAGUCAGGUGGCCUGGGCGGCCUUCUCCAGAGGUCUGGAAUGACUUCCAGCGGGCUUGCUGCAGUGCACAAAGAGCUCUCGGACCCCACGACCCAUCACCGUCUCCUCAAGAACAGGCCAGGAGGUCACAAGAACACAGAAGCUGAACCUGAGCUUUCAGUUCCAUCCUUUGGCCCCUUUAUAGGAAGGCGAAAGAAAGCAUUUCACAACCAGUUAGAAGUGACAUCACGUGUUCACUUCCCUUAAAAUAGGGCCUUGCUCUCAGUUGGAAAUUUACAGCAGCAUGAAAAAAAGGAAAAAAAAAAAAAAAUCCAAUGACAUGCAACUCAGUAUUGCUGAGCUGGUGGCAAGAAGAGCGAAGAUAAUCACAGCCGGAUACAGACUUGACAGCUGACAUGAAAGCACGAUGUAGACCUAGCUUUCAUCUCACUGUUACCAACAUUAUUCAAAUUAGUAAUCAAUAUGAAAAUAUGUUGGCUCUCUAGAAACCUGCCUACCUCUCUGAUUUUCAAAACCCCUCGUACAAAGAUUCAGGGAAAGAAAGGCCAUUUCUUUACAAGGUACACAUGGUACAACCCCUCAGCACUUAGCACAGAUACUGUUCACAUUUAAACAACAGCUCUUGAAAUCUGAAAAGCAAGGAAUACAGAGGAUGUUUCCAGAAGCACGUGCUUUAUUUAGGCUUAUGUGCGGCACUGCUGGGGCUGAGGGGCAAGGGAGUGCUCACGACCACAGGCAAGGUCUGCCCUGCUGUCCUUUGCUCAGGGAAAAGUCAGUGACAGCUCACCACUUCCGUCCACACUCGGGAACAUUCACCAGGGAUCACUGCUUCCACCCCCACACACCACCCAGCGGCAGAGCAGCGUGGCUUUCCCAGUCCCUCCCUGCACAGCGUGCGGGUGGUCGUCCUCAGAGCAGACCCGCUGGUCUCUUGUAAACGGAGAUGUAACCGACAUAAAAUAAAAACUACCUUUUACAGGUAGAGACUUGGAUGUGUUGAGAUGGACACACGGCGUGCAUAACCAUCAGCACGUCAGGGCAGAGAAUACUCCCACCUCCCAGAGGUCCCUCGGGCCCUCCUGCUGUCAAUCUUCUCCCCACACUGCCCCUGGCAACCACUAACCUGACUUCUGUCCCUUUUCCAAGAUGUCCAGAAUAAGCGGAGACCACAUAGUAUGUAACCUGGCUUUGGUAACUGGCUCUGUCACUUACUGUAAGGCUUUUGCGACUGCCCUAUACUGUUUCCUACAUCAGUGAUUCAUUCCACUUCAUUGCGAAACAGUAUUCUAUUGUGAGAAUAUACCACCAUCUGUUUACCUUUUCAUUCUGUUGAAGGACAUUUGGGUUGUUUUUGGUUUGGGACAAUUAUAAGCAAAGAAGCUAGAAACAUUACCUAUAGGUCUUUGUGUGGACAUUGGUUUUCAUUUCUCUUGGGCAAAUAGUUAGGAGUGGAAUUGCCAUCUGGUAAGUGUACGUCUAACUUUAUAUGAAAAAGUGGCUGGACCACUUUGCACUCCCAUCAGCAGUGCAGGAAUUUUAAUUGCUCUGCAUCCUCAGUAGCACUUGGCAUUGUCAGUUUGUUUGUUUGUUUGUUUUGUCUUUUAGGGCUGCAUCCACAGCAAUGGAGGUUCCCAGGCUAGGGGUCUAAUCAGAGCUGUAGCCGCUGGCCUACACCACAGCCACAGCAACUCGGGAUCCGAGCCGCAUCUGCGACCUACACCACACCUCACGGCAACGCCAGAUCCCUAACCCACUGAGCAAGGCCAGGGAGCAAACCUGUGUCCUCAUGGAUGCUAGUUGGGUUCGUUAACCACUGAGCCAAGACAGGAACUCCCUAUUGUCAGUUUUAACAAAAACCAUUUUAGCCAUUCUGUUUCAUAUACAGAAAUAACUCACUGUGAUUUUAAUUUGUGAUUUCCUCGUGUCUAAUGAUACUGAGCAUCUUUUCUUGCUGCUAUUUGCCAACCACAUGGCUUCUAUGGUAGAGUGUUUUGUCUUUUUUAAAACUGAGGUAUAAUGACUGGUUUUUAAAAUGCAAGGAAAUUGAUUUCAAAUAUAUGUUAAAUGGAUGAUACAUUAAAGUCAGGAUGUGUAUAGUUAGCUAUUUCUGCUUUAUUGGUUUUAUAAUUAAAACGCUCCUCUCUUACUUUUCAAAACACUAGCUUGUUUUGAAUUGGCCAAAUGGCAGAUAACUUCAUGUAGGAACUGAAAAUAAACACGCUUUCUUCCAAUACUAAUCAAUUGCUUUGUUCAUAAAAUGUCCAUUUUGAAAACUAGGUCUGAAGCCGUCUACGUUUCUAACUUUCUCUAAAUUCAGGCUCACCCCCUCAGAUACCAUGGUGCUGAAGACAGAUGCUCAACAUGCAAGUGCCUGGGUGCAGGGUGGGAAGCCCCUACUCUCCCCCAGGAACCACUUGGCUGAGGGAAGGGGCGGGGGGGGGCAGGUAUACUGGAGGCAACAUCCAAAGUGAGUUUGCACGGACAGGUGGGAAGCUGGACAGACUGACGGCGAGGUGAGGGGAGUGACUCCAGGCAGAGACAGUGUUGGCAAAAUGAAGAAAGUGAGACAACACGGAGACCUGGGCUCGGGGAGAAGCCAUUAGGAAUGCAGGGGGUGACUGGGCUAGCUGGGGGCUGGAUGCAGUGGGUGGCCUGGGAGGUGGGGUCAGACAGUGAAAAGGCUUCACCCUGAAGGGGGCAGUGCUCCGGGAGGGACGGGUGGGGUUCAGGAGGUAAAGCCCCUGGAGGGACAGUACGAGUAGCCUCUGACUCUGAGGCACAGCAGGAGAAAGGAACGGCUCUGUCCUCUAGGUGGCAGAUGGGGGCAGGACAGAGGUAGCAGGAUCCCAGCUCCCAGGGACCUCAGGUGGCGGUUCCUGCAGGCCGGGCCUAUGUGGCAGAAAGAACGGAGCCACCUCCUUCCCGGAUUCUCCCAGAGACGGUUCUCCCUCCUCCCUCCACCCAACCACCAAGCUCUGCCCGGCUGGUUCUGCUGUCUCCUGGCAAUCUGAGUCGCUCUACCCCCUUUCCACCCACGAUGCCCUUCGCCUAUGCCCAGAGGCCAGGGGCUGCCCGCCGUCUUCCUGGCCGCCUGUGAGUCUCACCCUCAUCCUUCCUCUGGCUCCCCUCUGCCCUGGGCCCCAGAACCCAGUGGAAGACAAGCCUUGGUUUCACGGCCAGCUAGGACGAGUAUGGGGCUGGAGCUGCAGAGACCCCUUGGCAGAAACGUCUGUGUAACUGAGAACCAGAGCGGAGACAGUGGGCUUUGCCUAAAAGCCAGCGGGUUUAUAAUUACGGGGUGCUGGGAAGGACUGUUCAAACAGGUCCCACCAGUUCCUCAUUCAGCCCCUGGGUGUGAACAGUCUGGGACGCAGCCCACAAGGAUGCAGGAGACGUUUGCUUCUCUGGCCUUCCAGCUGCUUACCUUUGCCAACUCUGUCUGCGGAACAGAGCGGCCGAAGGCAGCAGGAAAGCCAGCGGAUGGGGAAGCAGGUCAGUGGGACCCCCGGGAUCCCAGAGGGAUGGGAGGCAACGUGAAUGCAGACGUGUAGCUCCUCUGAGCCCCACCCACUGGCCCCCAGGGCCACCAGUUACCAGGACCAAGGUCUGGCCAGGGGACCUACACGGUGCCGCGCACCAACCACUUCACACACACACACCGUCCACGUUAGUCCUUUACCCUCCUCUUCGGUCGGUGACCACCUCACAGACAAAACACUGACCACAACCAAAGUCCCAGGGUGAAACCAGAGGCCAGGUGAGAAGGGAGCUGGGCUCUCCCUCCCCCUGCGGCCUCGGCACGAACCUCGUCCUGCGUGGCUCACCUUAAUGUCACGAAGAAUCCUAGGACUCCCUGGACGCCCCCAGGUACCCCAGGAGGUUCUGGCUGUCUCACUGCUGCCUUGAUGCACAACUGAGGGAGGGAGCAGUAGCCCUCACACAGAGGGUGCUCUUAGGCCUGUGCCCCAGACCACCCUGCCCCUGGAUGGCCUCACCUCCCGCCGGCCCGGGCCUGUGCAGACCAGAGCCCACAGCACACAGCAGGUCGACCCACACGCCUUCCAACUGUGUCCCAAGGGGCUGGGCCUUUGUCUUCCUUACCCACCGCUUCUUCCACCGCCUCCCGCUCACUGGCUCUCAGCAGGCCCUCAAUAAAAAUGUGAAAGGUAAAACCCUGAUGCAGCUAGAAAAAAAUAUAGGCAGGGCAGGACCCCUCAGCAAAAUUUCAAAAGUAGAAGCUAUAAGGAUAUGUGGGCACACAGUUGUGUGUGUGUGUAAAUAAACUAUUACCUCAAAAAUUAAGGAUUUCUGUUCAGAAAUCAGUAACACAGACAAAGUUAACAGAUUCAAAUACUGUCUCCUAAUCUGCUUAAAUUGUCUAAAGUGACAUGGGACUAAAAUCUGAACUAUCUCAGGAAGCCCGACCCAUCAACACUGAGAGGCCUGCAGGAAGAUGCGCACAGAUACGAGUGGUGACCCGCGAGAGAAGCGGAAGGUCACGGGGCUAACGGCCUGAGCGAAGGGCUCACACUCGUGGGACUUGGGGGAAUGCCCACGAAAAGAGCGACACAGCUCUGCCCCCCACAGAGGGCACUCGGGAGAGCAGGAAGGGCCAAGCGUAGGGUGGAGCUGCGCACUGAGGACCCCCUACUGAGCCACGCGGGUGGGAAAACAGCCAGGGGCGGGCCUGUGACCACCAGGCAGGAAGGCAGGGAGCAGACACGUGCCCCAGGAGGACCCAGCCUCGUUGCUCCUGAGUUUUAUCCCCAAAGAAAUGCUGGCUCAGAUCAUGGAGCACCUGGGGGGCACCCCAGUGUGGCAACAAAAAGGACAGGCAGGACUGUGUAGACACUGCAACGGAAGAGAUCUCACUGACAGUGCCGAGAGGAGAAAGACAGAGAAGCGGAACGAGAAACGGAACAACAGGGCACAGGAUGCCUCGACAUGAAUUCAAAAUAUUGGCACAUAAGCAAGGAUGACACCUACGCGAGAACACAGGCGCACACAAAUGCCGUAACCUUAGAAACGGGGAGUGGCUCAGGUGUCAAAGGCAGGGAGGUGGUGCUGAACGCGUUCGCCUACCUGCCCCAAUCCCGGCUCCCUGCUAAGGCUCGGUGGCUGGUCUUCCCCACGGAGGCACCCCUGACACCUGCCACACCACCAAGAGGGCGCGCCUGGAUCGCCUGCGCUAGCAGACAGGCGACACCAGUCCCCUGCCGUAGCGUCCUGCUGGCUGGUCCACCUGGGGACCACAAGGGCCCUUCCAAACACUGUCCCCAUGGGUCACAAUCGUGCCGUUAGCCUCCCUGCCCCAGCUGGACUGCAAGCCUCCUGGUAACAAGCACAGCACAGUAUUUUUCAUCAGCAGCAGCAUCAUAAUUGAUGCCAGGCUGUGGGCUGACAGCUCUACAUGUCACCUCAUUUAAUCUUGUAAUGAUCCCAAGGCAGUGGGAUUUUACAGAAAAGGAAACAGAUUUGAAGAGGCAAAGUCACUCAUAAUCAUGCAGCCGAAAGGAGGCAGACUCCACCUUCCAGAAUCUUCCUCGGGCUGAGAACAGGGCGAGUGUUAGAGCCAAGACUUAAAAGGUCACUAUCAGGUGAUGUGUGUGUUUCCAACCAGCUCUGCAGGUUCCAGGAAAGGCACAGACAGAGUUCGAGCCUGUGGGUCACUGUGUGAC